AGUGCCGAUCUGGGCCACAGGUUAUCUGAGCCUCUGGCUGUUCUCCCCCUCGGACACAGCGAUGGUGCUGCAGCAGAGUUUCUGGCUGUGACGACAAGGGGCUUUGAGAUUGCUGCCAACGCACACCUGCCAGGGAUGGGGCAGCGGCCUCCUGCCCCGGGCCCCUCGGCCUUCUUGGACCCUGAUGAUGGCCAGCCCAGCAGAUGGAGGCUCCUGCCCUGCGUCCCUGAGGUGCUGAGUGGCGGCUGCCGGACCUCUGUGUGUGAGAAUAGUUCUUACUCCGCCAAGCCUCAGAACCACCAGCUGGGGAAACGUCCCUUUCGCGUCGACACCCUCCAGACCCUGGUGACAGAGAUUUGGAGUGAAAGAAACCCGGCCAUCUGAACAAAAUCUCAGAUGGGCGCGGAGUGAGGAAGGGGAGUCUAAUGCAUCCAGGUCAACGGCCCGCUGUGCCCCAGGUGCGGCCGGAACCACACCCGGGCAAGAGUGGCGGAUUAGCAAACGCAGAACCCGUGAGUAGUGGGCCCACAGCUACACACGCUGCUGAGCAGGAGGUUCUGGGGCAUCACUGGGUGGUCCUCGGGGACCCCCGGGGUGCUCGGACCGCGCGGUGCCAGGGACUGAUCUAGGGCCCCUGCACGCAAACACACGAUUCUUACUCAGCCCUGGCCGGGGUCCCCACCUGGACACAGUGGGUCAGACGUGCAGGUGGCGCCCCAGACCUCGCGGCGGCCAGGGGAUGCCAGGGCCCAGGCCAGGCAGGGCAGAGCCAGGGGGCAAACGUGAGGAAGGGCCGAGCCUCCCGCCGAGGCUGGCCGAGGAAGGGCCAAAGCAGGGUCAGCGUUAGUUUCUGGGUCGGCCGGGGCCCUGGUUAAGCGCGGGGAACGCCCGUCGGACGAGGCGUGGCUGGCCGGCCGGAGCAGCGGGGCAGGGGAAGGUGCCGGCUGCACCCGUCCACCCGGUGUGGCCGCUGGACCACGUGCCGUCUCCAGCCCCACAGGAGUGACCGCUGGGCCGCAGCCAGGGGCCAGGAGCCAGCCCUGCGGCGUCGGGCACUGCAGGGGGCUCGGGGCCUCGAGCAGGCCGGGGCGGGGUCAACGGGUCUAAGCCGCGGCGAGGGUCCGAGCGGGGUCAGCGGGUCCGAGCGGGGUCAGCGGGUCCGAGCGGGGUCAGCGGAACGGAGCGGGGGUCAGCGGGCCGGGGGUCAGCGUGUCGGAGCGGGGGUCAGC
This is a long non-coding RNA of Sorex fumeus (smoky shrew), 1229 nucleotides long. RefSeq lists it as uncharacterized. The record is from RefSeq and is a predicted model, not a curated record. The transcript is spliced from 3 exons. NCBI's taxonomy places the organism in Eukaryota, Metazoa, Chordata, Mammalia, Eulipotyphla, Soricidae.